CAAAUUAUCCACUCGCCAAGUCACUCCUAAUGUGUAGCGGCAGUGAGCUACCCCCUACUAUGUCUGUACUGAAUAGAUACAUAAGAAAUUGUACGACUUUUCUUGAUUAUUUGUGAUUUGAGAAAUUGAUUCAUUUGACAAUUCUCUAAGAUAUGAUGAAACCAGAACAGUAGUUGCACCCGACCCCUAGUCACUUCUUUAAACAAGUAAAUAAACCACCCGACCCCUUACCCUUAACUAGACAAUGGGCACCCCCACUCUAACAAGCAAGUAAGUGAACAAGCCCAGCUGCAGUAACUUCAUGAAACAACUACCCGACCGACCCUACCUCUAAGAAGUGUUAACCCCGACCCGACCUCGACUCACCAGACUUAAGAACCAGACCAGUGCAGGAACCAGAAAGUCAGUAACCCAGCCUCAAAAGUGAGUCCACCACCCGACCCCUUAACUAGGCAAUAGGAACCCCGACCCUACCUCUAUACCUCAGGCUAUUUUCACUCAGGCUCAUCUCAUCUCUUAUAUAAGACUUCUGGCUACCCUUUCUUGACUUCCCCAUAAGACUUCUGGCUACCCUUUCUUGACUUUAAUCCAUUCUGACCUUCCCUUACGCGACUCCUACUAGUUGGGGGACUAGACUACUACGUGUUUGGGAUUCCACAAUUGACUUAAGGGCAAGAACAGGAGCUCAAAAGCACUAAUAACCACCCUAAAGUCAGACCUAUCCCUCAUUGGCAGCUUCAGCUACGGAUUCCACUUCACCAAAACCAGAUGAAACAGCCCCUCAAUCUAGGGCAACUACUACUGAUUCACAACAGGACUACUAUACUACUUGCUAUCAAAAAUCCCGGGUUUCUUAAAAAAGAUCAUGGAAAUCUGGUCAUCUAUUAGCUAAAUUGCCGAUGCUAUCAAAAAACACGGGAAAACGCAAACUUUGCAUGGAAAUCGGGUGCCUCAGGAAGGAAAACUUGGUUGCUGCCCAAAAAGACGGGAAAACGCAAAAAGGAAGUCCGUUUCGGGUGCUCCAGGAGGGGAAAUGCCCAUGCUAUGUUUUUUCCCGGGAAAACGCAUCUUUGACUCUGCCGCUACACAGUAGUAGUUCCUUGGCUCAUAGCAAAGCAGACUUACUGUGGCUCUUACUUGGCGACAACUGGAAUGAAUUCUUAUCUUAUAUAAGAGAACAGUAAGGGGACUGCCGCUACACACUAAUCGUUGCUUGUCCCUUUGACUCCUUAGCUUCAUUCUAUGCCUUAGCAGCUCUAUUCUAUGCCUUAGCAGCUCUAUUCUAUCCCUCGCUCGUUCCAUUCUUUGCCUGCUGAUCGGUAGGCUGUUACCCACUGGUUGAAGGCACCAAGCAACUACUAAUGUUGCGCGGUAGCGAGCCCUCACUGAUUGAAGGCUUUGACUCUAGCACUCCAUUCUAUAACUCACUUGUUUGAGUCUUGGUACUAUAUGUGGACUUCAAGUCAUAGGUCUAAUUCUUAUCUUAUUGGACUUCAAGUCAUAGGUCUAAUUCUUAUCUUAUUGGAGUUCAGGUCAUAGGUAAGAAUAGGGAGAUAGAUGCGGCUUUCAGGUCAUAGGUCUAAUUCUUUGAUUGACUGGUUCAACUCUACCCCUUACUAGCUCCAACUCUGUAACUCCCUCGGUUCAGUCUGAUCGGAUCUAGUUUGAUUCUGAUCUAGUACCCUGGAUGCGGGGAAUCGGUGGGCAAGUGAAGAAUUGGUAAUAGCAGUUGGAUUCUGAUCUACCCUACCAGCUGCAGGGAAUCAAUACCCUCGCUUUAAGUCUGGUUGUCCAGGUGCCUGCCUUAGUCUUGCUACCCUUGCUUUAAGCCUUGGACGAGUGAGUUGGAGACCCUAGCUACAUACCAAGCCCGAGAAGCACCGGUUGAAGACAGAUACCCUAGCUACCCAGCUGCAGGCUUAGCAUCAAUACCACUAACAUAAGGCUUGGACGAGUGAGGUGCAUUCUGAGUUUCCGACUUGCCCACCUCCCGCACUGGUUCUCUUUCCUCUCUCUCCUUUGGUAAAGCACCGAACCAGCCUGUCCAAAGAAUUCAGCAAGUUGCUUUCGAAUCCACCUCCAAUAGACAAUAGACCCGAGCUCUGUAAACUAUUUCAGUAAACCAGCCGCGCCUAGUAAUAGAAUUCUACCUGCCCACCCCGUAACUACACACAUGAUAGGCAAUAGGCACCCCGAGAUAGGCAAUAGGCACGCCUACCCACCUCCUCAGGCUCCGUUCUCAGUUGCAUCGGUACUAGACCUUGGCUACCCGGUAUCAGCCUUGGAGUUACUGCUUGCAUUCUAGUUUCUUUAAUAAUAACAGAUAUUUGGAGUCUAUUUUCUUCUACUAUUUCCCUACUGUGUCUGUAGUGUGUUAGUAUAUGAUAAAGAUGUCGACUUUUCUUAUUUAUUUGUGAUUUGAGAAAUUGUGAUUUGAUG
RNAcentral lists this long non-coding RNA (2439 nucleotides) under Musa acuminata (dwarf banana). Its description in RNAcentral is "long non-coding RNA (MACU_LNC011698)". The record is from RNAcentral. Lineage: Eukaryota; Viridiplantae; Streptophyta; Magnoliopsida; Zingiberales; Musaceae.